UGGGUUGUAGACUAAAAGGUAAGUCACAGAAAUUUGAGUUCUGUUUUUAAAAGUUCGAAUCUUUUCGACCCAG
Molecule: non-coding RNA, 73 nt
Organism: Pneumocystis murina
Lineage: Eukaryota; Fungi; Ascomycota; Pneumocystomycetes; Pneumocystales; Pneumocystaceae
Source: Rfam